AAAUUUUUGAACCCACAAAAUGGCGAAAAAAAAAAUCCUGUACAGUCAGUCAGCUGUCUGAAUUGAAUAAAUCGUUUGUAUUCUUCACCAUCUACGGCCAAAGUUUCCAUAACCUCUCCCACCACCACCUCUGCCUCCAGAAAAUCGACCUCCAUUUCUCCUGUCACCGCGACCACCACCAAAUCUUCCGCCUCUCUGCUGAUCUUUCUCUUGCAACCGGGGCAGUUCUGUUACUACCUCUAAGCUUACACCUUGUGCGUUCUUCCCAGCUAGAAAUGUG
RNAcentral lists this unclassified non-coding RNA (280 nucleotides) under Hevea brasiliensis (rubber tree). The record is from RNAcentral. Lineage: Eukaryota; Viridiplantae; Streptophyta; Magnoliopsida; Malpighiales; Euphorbiaceae.